CGCGCAAACUCUCACUACCCCGCGCGUACCUCUUUUGCCAAUUAUUUUUGUUGUCUCGUCGUAAACAGGACCGCACAGAUCCAAAACGGUUGGUGACAUAAUUGUUGUUGUCGCGCUAUACGUUUUACGAUGGACGUUUAGCCGAAAUGAUUGCGGUCCGUCAGUGUGCGCGCCAUAACGGACAAAUCUAAUAUAAUUGUUCUUGUUGCGACGGCGGAAUGUAAAACGCAACGGAU
Cinara cedri is the source of this 236-nucleotide non-coding RNA. The record is from the annotation of a GenBank genome assembly. Lineage: Eukaryota; Metazoa; Arthropoda; Insecta; Hemiptera; Aphididae.